This is a long non-coding RNA of Drosophila montana, 477 nucleotides long. RefSeq lists it as uncharacterized. The transcript is spliced from 2 exons. Lineage: Eukaryota; Metazoa; Arthropoda; Insecta; Diptera; Drosophilidae. The record is from RefSeq and is a predicted model, not a curated record.
UCUUUUUUCCUUUGUUAAAUCUUACAAUAUUUUUUUUUAAAACGUAUUUGCAAAACAACUCAAAAUGUUGAGAGCCUGAAACCCAGUGUUCAAAUUUCCUCAAAUCAAACUUUAUAUAUGCCUGAACUUCAUAAAAUUCCGAAAAGCUCUGUUUUAAAUAGAUUUUGAAAACCUUUUCAAAUUUUUUAUAGAAUAAAUAAAUUAAGAUGUUACCAUGGUAUCGCCUGCGACCGAAACACUGGUUCUACUUUCUAUGCAAUGAUCCCAUUGCCGGAGAGUUCAUGAAGUGUAGCAUGAUCUUCAUCUGUAGCGUGCUGCUGCUGAGGCGUUUGGGGCGUAGUUUUCCCGCCCUGACGCAACGUAUUGAAAAGUUGUUUAGUUCCUAAGCGAGAGUUCUAUGCGAAAUGGCAUGAUUUGGUUUAUAUGUUACGAAAUUCGUUUAGGUUUAUUAAAAUCAACUUUGUAGAAUAUUAAUAA